UCUCCGUUGGUGAACCAGCGGAGGGAUCAUUACUGGAAUCGCAAGAUCCCACAACCCCUGUGAACCUACCGAAACGUUGCCUCGGCGGGCGCCCGGCCCUGCGCCCGGCGCUGAGCCCGCCGGCGGCCCCCUACUCUUGUCUCUGCAGCGUGGCAUCUCACAGUCCCAGAAAACAAGUAAAAACUUUCAACAACGGAUCUCUUGGCUCUA
Molecule: unclassified non-coding RNA, 210 nt
Filed under: plant metagenome
Description: partial contains small subunit ribosomal RNA, internal transcribed spacer 1, and 5.8S ribosomal RNA
Source: RNAcentral